GGGGGGGGGGGGGGGGGGGCGGGGGGGGUGGGGGGGGGGCGGGGGGGCGGCUGCGGGUUGGGUGGGGGGGGAGGGGGGGCGGACGGGGGCGUAGCGCGUGAGUGAGCUGCGCGCUUCUUGUGGGUCACCGCAGGGCAGUGUGGCUAAUGCGGGAUGUUCUGGGUCUGUCGCAUGAUGGGGCUGGGAAAGGUAUGGGGUCGGUGGUGGACGGGCGCGCGUCCUAUCAGCUGUUUGGUGUGGUGAUUGCCUACCAAGGCGGUGGCGGCUCGCCGGCCUGAGAGGGUGGACGGUAACACUGGGACUGAGACACGGCCAAGACUCCUACGGGCGGCAGCAGUGGGGAAUAUUGCACAAUGGGCGAAAGCCUGAUGCAGCGACGCCGCGUGAGGGAUGGAGUCCGUCGGGUUGUGAACCUCUUUCGCCAGUGAAGCAGGCCUGCCUCGUUUGUGGGUGGGUUGACGGUAGCUUGAGAAGAAGCGCCGGCUAACUACGUG
This 494-nucleotide ribosomal RNA is filed under the name uncultured bacterium. RNAcentral's name for it is "partial 16S ribosomal RNA". It matches the Rfam family "Bacterial small subunit ribosomal RNA", at positions 38 to 507 of the family's 1533-position model. The record is from RNAcentral.